Long non-coding RNA from Spinacia oleracea (spinach), 1628 nucleotides. RefSeq lists it as uncharacterized. NCBI's taxonomy places the organism in Eukaryota, Viridiplantae, Streptophyta, Magnoliopsida, Caryophyllales, Amaranthaceae. The record is from RefSeq and is a predicted model, not a curated record. The transcript has 2 exons.
CCUAAUUAAAGCCACGAUCUCAAGCAUCUUCAAUUUUCUUAAGCUGUAAACCCACGAACAUUAGGCUCCUCGUACCAAAAAAAACCUAACUUCAAUUCACCAAGAAACCUUCACAAAGCUCAAGCAAUUCACCACCGCCGGCGAAGGGCCGACACGUCUCCUUCCCAAUCGCUUCUCCAUCUUCCCAUUAUCGAUGGCGAGUCCUGCACUUCUUGGUUUUUCAUUCUCUUUAUUUUCCAGCUUGUCUGCAUCAAACUCCUAAACAUUGGCAUAUACAAUGUAGCUGGAGCAGGAAGUUCAAAAACUAAAAGAGGAGAAUCAAGAGUUAAGGAAGAAACAGGUGCGUCUUUUAAGAAUGUUUUUUUCCUCUUCUGAAACUUAAUUGUUGCAAUCAUGGAUAGGCUUGCUUAAUUGCUUUUCUGACUGCAGUCAGAAAUUGUGGAACAGCAAAAAAAACCAGGUAUGUUUAGUUUACAGUCGUUGGUUUUUCUUUUGUAAUCUACUUGUUGGAAGUUUCCUAAGCGUCUAGUUUUUUUUUUUUUUGUAAACAAGUGAUAGAGAUGAUGAACAACGCACAAACUGGUUCUCGGAAAAAGCUGAGGAGGACACAGAGUGGUCCAUGGUGAUCUGAUGUGCCAUUACUUAUAGUAGGUUUUUUGUAAAUAUUUUUGAGGGAGUGGAACUUUUUUUUUUUUUGUUUAUUGGAUAGAUGAGGAUUUGUAUUUUAGGUUAAAAGCUUCUAAAUUUAUAGUUUCCCUUACCUCUAAAACAUGAGCACUUGUAGGAAAGAGGAAGCAUGACAUGCAAAUCCCAUACAAACCUGUUGAAAAUGUAGUUUUAGGGCAUAUCCAAUUUCAACAUCUUUAUUUUUGGUGCCUUUUGGAUUCCCCUUACUCUGUUCUGUCUGAUUUUCGUAGCUUAGAAUUAUGUUGGUGGAGUGUAGUACUAGUGACUUUGAUAGUCUUUCGACAAUGAAGAAACAUGUACUGUAGAUCGUAACCUCUAAUAUAAAGGGCAUAAAAUUCCAUAAGUUAGUGGUUGUUGUAUGAGAGAAUCUAAUACUAUGAAAUUUGUGUUUUUUGACCCACUUCUGUUAGCUAAGAGUACAACUGCACAAGCUUCUGUCUGUGUUGUUUGAUUGUUUUAGUGAAAGUCAAGGGGGUAACUUUUUAAUUGUUCAGAGAUUGAUUCUUCCUUUCAUGAUUACACAAUUACGGAGUAGAUAUUCGCGUAUAAUGAAAAAAAUACGAGUAUAACUUUACAAAAGUAUAAGAGUAGUAUGAAAACUUGUUAUGCGUCCAUAAUUUUGUUUCUGCUUUGUGUAUUCUGCAGAGAGAGUGUUUUGCAAAAAGGUAUAUGGCGCAGAUGGGAACACGUGGGAAGAAAAUGAUCUUCUGGACGUUGAUCAUUAAUGAUCUUUGUAGCUAGUGCAUAUUGAAACUUUCUUACAAAUAUUUUGGGAAUCUCAUACCAAGUUAAAAAAUUUGAUGUACUUUAGAUUUGAACUUGUGAUGUGACUUAGGAGAAUGUUAUGUUAUAGUAGUUUUAUUUAAUUUAUUCUUUGUAGAACACAUUGGUCGGUUUGGAGAUUUUUUAUGCAUAUAUAUAGAGUUGAUGGAUUAUUAUUA